CGCGUAGGCGGUUUGAUUAGUUAGGCGUGAAAUUCCUGGGCUCAACCUGGGGCUGCGCUUAAUACAGUCAGACUAGAGUGUGAAAGAGGGUCGUGGAAUUCCCAGUGUAGAGGUGAAAUUCGUAGAUAUUGGGAAGAACACCGGUGGCGAAGGCGGCGACCUGGUUCAUUACUGACGCUGAGGCGCGAAAGCGUGGGGAGCAAACA
RNAcentral lists this ribosomal RNA (206 nucleotides) under uncultured bacterium. RNAcentral's name for it is "partial 16S ribosomal RNA". It matches the Rfam family "Bacterial small subunit ribosomal RNA", at positions 568 to 774 of the family's 1533-position model. The record is from RNAcentral.